Molecule: long non-coding RNA, 6634 nt
Filed under: Pelobates cultripes (western spadefoot toad)
Lineage: Eukaryota; Metazoa; Chordata; Amphibia; Anura; Pelobatidae
Source: RNAcentral
CUCUGUCUUCUUAACUGAUUUCCAGGAUCCUGUUUCCUAAGAGGGAGGGGCUCAGCCAGUAUUCAUCAAGUCUUCGUGUAUAGCUGAUUUUAUCCCCAACAAAUUGGUGUCAGAAGUUUGGGUGCAAUUGGAGACGGAAGGUAAUUCUCAUCCUCCACACUUUGCACAUUUAAAAAAAUAAAUACAUUUUAAAGGGGAUUUCCCUGCAUAAUGUCUAGACAUGAUAUUUUUUUUAAGUCUAAGGUACACGUUUAUGACUCCUUAGGUAGGCAGUUUUGUGCACAAUUGUCUAUGGUAGACAAUUCCUCCUUGGUAGAGGUUCACCUUUGGCAGGUGGUAAAAAGAUUUUCAAGCCUUUGGUAGGCUGUCAUGUAAGGUAAUGUACAUGUGGGUUUUGCAGACUAAAAUGGUUUAAAGAAUAAAAAAAUAAAAAAAAGAGAGAGAGUUAGAAACGUACUUGAUGAGUAUCUUGGCUGUACUCCAACCUCUGUUUUGCUUACUUUUGAUAUACAGGGCAAGCAGAAUUAUUAGGCAAAUGAGUAUUUUGACCACAUCAUCCUCUUUAUGCAUGUUGUCUUACUCCAAGCUGUAUAGGCUCGAAAGCCUACUACCAAUUAAGCAUAUUAGGUGAUGUGCAUCUCUGUAAUGAGAAGGGGUGUGGUCUAAUGACAUCAACACCCUAUAUCAGGUGUGCAUAAUUAUUAGGCAACUUCCUUUCCUUUGGCAAAAUGGGUCAAAAGAAGGACUUGACAUGCUCAGAAAAGUCAAAAAUAGUGAGAUAUCUUGCAGAGGAAUGCAGCACUCUUAAAAUUGCAAAGCUUCUGAAGCGUGAUCAUCGAACAAUCAAGCGUUUCAUUCAAAAUAGUCAACAGGGUCGCAAGAAGCGUGUGGAAAAACCAAGGCGCAAAAUAACUGCCCAUGAACUGAGAAAAGUCAAGCGUGCAGCUGCCACGAUGCCACUUGCCACCAGUUUGGCCAUAUUUCAGAGCUGCAACAUCACUGGAGUGCCCAAAAGCACAAGGUGUGCAAUACUCAGAGACAUGGCAAGGUAAGAAAGGCUGAAAGACGACCACCACUGAACAAGACACACAAGCUGAAACGUCAAGACUGGGCCAAGAAAUAUCUCAAGACUGAUUUUUCUAAGGUUUUAUGGACUGAUGAAAUGAGAGUGAGUCUUGAUGAGCCAGAUGGAUGGGCCCGUGGCUGGAUUGGUAAAGGGCAGAGAGCUCCAGUCCGACUCAGACACCAGCAAGGUGGAGGUGGAGUACUGGUUUGGGCUGGUAUCAUCAAAGAUGAGCUUCUGGGGCCUUUUCGGGUUGAGGAUGGAGUCAAGCUCAACUCCCAGUCCUACUGCCAGUUCCUGGAAGACACCUUCUUCAAGCAGUGGUACAGGAAGAAGUCUGCAUCCUUCAAGAAAAACAUGAUUUUCAUGCAGGACAAUGCUCCAUCACACGCGUCCAAGUACUCCACAGCGUGGCUGGCAAGAAAGGGUAUAAAAGAAGAAAAUCUAAUGACAUAGCCUCCUUGUUCACCUGAUCUGAACCCCAUUGAGAACCUGUGGUCCAUCAUCAAAUGUGAGAUUUACAAGGAGGGAAAACAGUACACCUCUCUGAACAGUGUCUGGGAGGCUGUGGUUGCUGCUGCAUGCAAUGUUGAUGGUGAACAGAUCAAAACACUGACAGAAUCCAUGGAUGGCAGGCUUUUGAGUGUCCUUGCAAAGAAAGGUGGCUAUAUUGGUCACUGAUUUGUUUUUGUUUUGUUUUUGAAUGUCAGAAAUGUAUAUUUGUGAAUGUUGAGAUGUUAUAUUGGUUUCACUGGUAAUAAUAAAUAAUUGAAAUGGGUAUAUAUUUGUUUUUUGUUAAGUUGCCUAAUAAUUAUGCACAGUAAUAGUCACCUGCACACACAGAUAUCCCCCUAACAUAGCUAUAACUAAAACAAACUAAAAACUACUUCCAAAAAUAUUCAGCUUUGAUAUUAAUGAGUUUUUUGGGUUCAUUGAGAGCAUGGUUGUUGUUCAAUAAUAAAAUUAAUCCUCAAAAAUACAACUUGCCUAAUAAUUCUGCACACCCUGUAUCUCUGCUGUUUGGCUUUUGUGUUUUUUUUAAUAAUAUAUAAAUAACUUUGCAAGGGAUUGGAAUUACAGACAGAAAAGAUGAAAUCCAUUUUAACUACUCUGCAGUGGUAGUUAUAUUUUUAAAAAACGUACAGAAUUUGGCUACCAUGUUUUUAAACAGAAUAAAAACAGAUUUCUCUUUGAGAAAUGGGUACUUCACAAUGUAAAAAAUAUCCGUCCCCUAAUCCCGGGUAAAAUUGCAAACAGUAUGUUGCUUGAAUAUAUCCCCUACCCUGUUUAACAAGAGGGGAUAAGAAUUAAAGGAAUAAAAUGAUUAAGGGAAUGUCAAAAGUACAAGUGAAUGUGAUGAUGAUAAAGAGGAAUAAGAGAAAAAAAUAGAGGUUAAUUAAGGGGGGCUACAAAUUCUAGGACUAACAUUGUUUCUCUGCAUGUAUGAUUGUAAACAUGAUGAGCCCCUCCCUCUGAGCCAUUUAUUUUCAUAUUGGGACAAAAAGUCACUUCAUUAGUUGAAAACGUCAAACACAUUGAUUGUGACCCAAACUGUGCAGAAGUGGAUUUGAAGUUUGGUUAUAGAAUGUAGGAUCAGAAAACCAUGGACAAAGGUUUUUACCUGUUGUUAUGACUUUUGGAACUCAAAUUGACUGGUCCAAAUUUUCACAUGCCUUUAACAUGGAGUAGUAUAAAUAUGUUGAGUCUUUGAGCAUUCUGACAAAUGCAGGUGAUACCAUGUCUGUGUAAUCUGGUCCAAAUGUUCUAUAAGCGUAUAAGAGAGAAUUUCUAUUGACAGGGUACAUAUGUUGCAACUGGUUAAUGCAAAUGUUUAAGUCAAACGCAUUAUAUGGCCGUACGGGAUCCCUAAAAAGAAAAAAAAAAAACUUUGGUACCAGAACUCUUAAAUAAAUUUAAUACAAACUAAAAUUGAUAUACCUUACAAUAAUAUGUUCUGAAUAGAGCUGUUAAAAGUUUAUUCUGUGUAAAUGGUGAUUGUGAUAAAUGUGUGGUUUGGGUAACUCAUUUUAAAGUGUGCAGUUUAAUUGUCAUGUAUGUUAAUGGGUAUUUUGCUGUGUUAUUUUAAAUUAUAUUUGAAUAAGUUUGUCUCAGUAUUGAUACAGAUGGAAAUGGCAGUAUAAUAUAUUAAAUAACUGAUUUAUUAUUGAAUACUCGUCCAAGAGCAAUAGGAAUUGUAGUCUUAAGCAAAAUAAGGGGGAGGCUGUUUUUGUAAGUUUUGGCUGAUUUCCAAAAUUCUGUUGCAAUAAUGGACGUCUUGCCAAAAUUUGGCUUUCCUGUCCAGUUGCCAGGUUCUCUGAUCUAAUCUUAAAGCUGUACUGCAUGCAUAGUUUGCACAAAUGCAUAAUGCACAAACAUGGGAACCUACAUUAUGUCUGUGUUUCUUUUGAGGGACACCGAGUGUGACAUUUAUUAAUUUAUUUUGGAUUUAGUUAAUUGCCUGUCCAUGAAUAAGUUUUUUGUAUUGUCAAGUCUGCUGGAUAUCUGCUACAUUCGUUGUGUUCUGUGUUAUAAGAUGACAUGUGUGAUAUUACAAUGAGUAUGAAGAAUAUUUAAAGAAUAUUUGCAUGUCAUUAACGCAAGCAAAAACAUCUGCUUUUCAAAAUCAUGGAUCCACGUUUCCAUUAGGGGAGUAUUUAGAGUUAACUCUACUUUUAAAGUGCAUUGCAUUAUUUAAAUCAAAGAAAAAGAAAAAAUUGUUAUCUUUAACAUAAAAAAUUGUUAUGUUAUAUGGUUAUAUAAAAAGAAAAAAUGAAUGGAUGUAUAGGAUAGGUUUUUUCCAAGAUUAAGAUUCAUUUAGUAUGCCUCAUUGAUUAUAACGUAAUGAUGAAAUGGUAUUUUUAAUAGAGAUCAGACAAUUUCUUUGAUUAUAAGUGAGGCAAUUCUAAACUACUGUAUUAUAUUUGUAUUGGUAAAUUGAAAGCAUUUUGCAGACCCAGAAGAGAAUAAAUAAUAUAAUAAUUAUAAAAGGAACCAUACUAUGGGAAGAGGUCACCCUAUUAACUCGCUAAGGGGUUAAACUCAUUUUUGAUAAGCAUAUAAAAUUUAGUUUUUGUGGUUAGACUUUUGAUACUCAAUUGAUGUAUUACAACCAUAUCCUUGCAGGUAUAGGAAACAGCUGCAAUAUGAUUUUAAUAUUUGCUAUAUAUUAGUGUUUUUAAUGUAUUCUGACAGUGGAAAAGUACCUAACUGCAUGUCUGCAUUACACUUAUGACCCAGACUGUCAGUAUUGCAAACCCUAUAUGAAGACUCCGCUUUCACUGUUUAUGUAUACACCCCUAGACAACUGUGCUAUACAUACACAAUUUAAAUAUACAAUAAAUCUUCAAAAGCUUAUUAAUAUUAUAUCUGUGUGGUACACAAAGAGGGGUACACAAAGAGGGGGUGGGGGGUGAGUUAGGUAAUCUCGACCUGCAUAAGGAAUAUGCUUCCUCCUUGUUCACUUUUGGUCAAACUGUUGGCCUGUGACUGGCCCUCUUUGACCCCAACUGAAUUUCUUGGGAAGAUUCAUGAGAAAGAUACAUCAGGUUGUUUUGAUAUAAAGAAAGAGGGAAAAGUAUGUUGUAUCGGUCACAAAUGAUUGUGAUCUUAAGCAGACGAGACAGGGACAUUUGGGAGGUGAUAGGAGAUUGAAUCAGAAAAGUUUUAGAGGCAGAGGUAAAGGAUUUGAUCAAAGGGUCUAACUUUUAUAGAGGUGGUAACUUCAGCAUUGGUGGAACACACUGUUUUAAUUGUGGAUAGCAGGGGUUCACCCCAAGGUGCUCGUGGUGAACCCGGUUCUCCCGGUCAAGCUGGCCCCACUGGUACUCCUGGUAUUGCUGGUGCCCCUGGCUUCCCUGGUGCCUGUGGUGUUCCUGGACCUCAAGGCCCCGGAGGUUCCCCUGGUGAACCUGGUGCUCAAGGAAACAAAGGAGAACCCGGUGCUAAGGGAGAACCUGACCCAGCUGGUGUUCAAGGACCCACCCUGGCAGGUUCCUCAAUACCAACCAAAGCUUCCAACCUAUACCCACACCCAACAACCCCAGCCUAAUACACAGAUGGUUCAUGUUUUUAAUACUUUAUAUAUAGUUUGGAGUGAUAAAACAGUAUUAAUGCUGGCUCUUAGAUGAUGUACAAGCUGAAGUUGGGACCUAGACAUUGUUUGCAUAGGCUGCGCAAUGUGAAAUAACUAAAAUAAAAUAGGAUAAUAAUAAGUAUGCUUAGUCAAUUUGUAAUGUUGUAUCAUAUAGGCAUCUGCAAUAAAAUAAGUGGGUUUCCAAGACCUGACAAGUGAGAGCAACUUAAUAUAACAUAAGUCUACAGUUUGCUGUCCCUUCCUUAUCAGAGGCCACUUGCAACCUUAACACAGCAUGACAACUCUUCCAAAACCUGUAUUAAACAAAGCACUUUAGAAUAAUAGUAAUUCAUUUUGUUUCUCCUAUUUCAUUCCUAGUUGUUCUGGACAAAAAGAUUGUUUAAGUGGGAUAACUGUACAGUAUGAAAAUAUGAUCACACACAUACAGAACUGGUGGCUUUUUGGACAUCGGAAUCUAUAAAAAGUUUUGGUUUCCAAAAAUGUUAUCGGGGUCCACACAAUUUUUGACAGACUUCAGCAUUCCAAUUUUAUUAAAGUAAUUAAUUGAGAUUAUCAAAUCAAGAUUUAAGUUUAAGAACAGUAUUUUAUUGGGAAUUAUUCCAAUAUGUAUAUGUUAGUGUUUUAGUACUCAUCCUGUCCAAAAAGCAUUUAUAUAGUGUAAGUGCUUCUCGCAUCCAUACAAAGGCAUUCCAAAGGGAAAUUGUGUACAAAUUCAUACAGGACAAAUUUCAUGAAUUAUAAGCAAAGCUAAGAGAAGUACAUGUUACAAAAGUUAAGGGUUUAGCUUUAGUCUCUAAUUUGAAUUUAGCCUAGAUAAUUAAUUUAUUGAUGUCGUACUAAUCCUUGUGUUUGUAUGAUUAUAGAGGCCGUACUGGAGUAUUUGUGCCGCCUGAUAUUUGGGACUACACACCAAUCUCUCUGGCUGACCUACCUACCUACCUGAUUGCAAUUAAAUCUGUUUGGUCAAAAUCCAUGCUGGCCGAAGAAACUGAGAUGCUUACUUAUGAGGACAUAAACUAACUUGGAAAGUCCUGAAGGUGCAGUGCUGUCUAAUGCUGCUAGUUCUGUAUUAACCCUUUCAACAAUUUGGGUGUUGCACACAGCAUUGUGGUGAACAUCCAGCAAACAGAAGAAUUAAGAACUAUGUGGAAGCUGACAUUGUUUUGUUGUCAGCCAUAUUGCUACCCUUAGCUAUUUUAUGGUGUCUAAGAUUAUGGAGCAAAGUUUAUGGUGUCUAAGAUUCUUUAUACUCCUUGAAAGACUUAUUCUAUUUUUCUGGACUAUGCUGGUCUAUUGAACAAUUUUGUUUAUUUUUAUUUUUGUAGAGUUAGCCGGAGAGAGAGGAAGUGUUAGCUUACUCAGGCAUGGAUGUACUAUGUGUGUCAUUGAUGUAUGUUGAGUGUACCAAGGAUGGAUUCCCAUUUAUUAAGUGUAGAUAUGACUGGGCUGUCGAAAUAGGGAUGUGAUUAGGAGACAUA